CAUGCCAUGUUUUUUGCACAAAGAUUGCUGCAACGUCAGAAAUCCACCAUGUGUGUCAUGUUGUAUAAUUUCUUGUAAUUGUUUCCAGAACUACUCAUGUUUCAGCAGCAGUUUAGUAAAUAGACUGUUUUUCCACACUGCAGAGCUACGAAAUGAUCAGAAGAUUAAGACAGAAAAAAUAGACCAAAAUAUUCAAGUUCUGCAUUCAGCUAGGCUUGCAUCUACAACACCUUCUGUCAAAGACUCAGACCCAUCUUAUGCAAAUUUCCAUGAUGAAGAAUGGGGAAUUCCAGUACAUGAUGACAAGUAAGUUGCCAGAUUGUUUUUCAGUGUUUGUUGUGGAGCUUUGGCCGAACUCACUUGGCCUUCCAUUUAGCAAAAGACAUAUAUUCAGAGAAGUAUUUGCAGAUUUUGAUCCUAUAGCAGUGGCAAAAUUGAAUGAAGAGAAGACUUUAGCACCUCGAAAUACAGCAUGCUCACUGUUUUCAUAGCUUUAACUGCGAGCAGUCAUUGAAAAUGCUUGUCAAGUGUCGAAGAUAUAUCCUUUGCUCUUUAUUCAGUUAACUUCUGUAAAUACCUACCUGGACUAUAUUUGCAUGUGCAAUGGCUAUUAAAACUGUUAUAGAAUCAAAGACAUCUAGCUGUUAAAGUAUUUCAUUAGUUAUUGCAACUAAAUUUGUGCAGGUUUUGCUUGUGUCGGAUUUGGGUCAUUUGACAAGUAUAUCUGGAGCUUAUGAACCACAAGCCUAUAGUUGGCAGAUUCCGGUAUCCUCAAGUUCAGUAAAAACCUAGUUCGGAGAGGUUUCCAGGGCGUGGGACCCACUAUUGUCUGUUCCUUCAUGAACAAAUGACCAUCUUAUUAGCUGCUUCAGAUUUCAUGACUGUGUGGCAGUUGCUGAAGGAAAACAGAAGGAUCUAAAUGAAGAUAAUAAUACUGAGGCAGCAAAAACCAAUGAAGCCAUUGAAGCAGAGAUGUGUAGAUCGACCGAUGACCUGAGUUUCUCAUUGGUGGGAUCGAGUCAUUGUGCAUUUUAAUGAGACAAUUCAGAGCUUACUUGUAACAUCUGGUUAUCAUCUAAGCUCACACAGAUUUAGUAGCAGAACUGGUUAUACAAAGAUGAGGUCGAUUCCUGUGCAUCAUAGAUUCUUAUAGCCCGUUUGGCCAAGCUGCAAAAAUCAGCUUAUUUUGAGAAGUGCUUUUCUCAAA
Nicotiana tabacum (common tobacco) is the source of this 1207-nucleotide non-coding RNA. The record is from RefSeq and is a predicted model, not a curated record. NCBI's taxonomy places the organism in Eukaryota, Viridiplantae, Streptophyta, Magnoliopsida, Solanales, Solanaceae.